RNAcentral lists this ribosomal RNA (609 nucleotides) under uncultured bacterium. RNAcentral describes it as "bacterial SSU rRNA". It matches the Rfam family "Bacterial small subunit ribosomal RNA", at positions 897 to 1508 of the family's 1533-position model. The record is from RNAcentral.
AAACUUAAAGGAAUUGACGGGGGCCCGCACAAGCAGCGGAGCAUGUGGUUUAAUUCGAAGCAACGCGAAGAACCUUACCCAGACUUGACAUCUCCUGAAUUAAUCGUAAUUGAUGAAAUCCCUUCGAGGACAGGAAGACAGGUGGUGCAUGGUUGUCGUCAGCUCGUGUCGUGAGAUGUUGGGUUAAGUCCCGCAACGAGCGCAACCCUUAUCAUUAGUUGCUAACAUUAAGUUGAGCACUCUAGUGAGACUGCCCGGGUUAACCGGGAGGAAGGUGGGGAUGACGUCAAAUCAUCAUGCCCCUUAUGUCUGGGGCUACACACGUGCUACAAUGGUGGGAACAGAGAGAUGCAAUACCGCAAGGUGGAGCCAAACUUCAAANCCCAUCCCAGUUCGGAUUGUAGGCUGAAACUCGCCUACAUGAAGCUGGAGCUGCUAGUAAUCGCGAAUCAGAAUGUCGCGGUGAAUACGUUCCCGGGCCUUGUACACGCCGCCCGUCACACCAUGAGAGUCGGCAACACCCGAAGCCCGUGAGGUAACCUUUUGGGACCAGCGGUCGAAGGUGGGGUUGAUAAUUGGGGUGAAGUCGUAACAAGGUAGCCGUAGGAG